Molecule: small RNA, 48 nt
Filed under: Arabidopsis thaliana (thale cress)
Lineage: Eukaryota; Viridiplantae; Streptophyta; Magnoliopsida; Brassicales; Brassicaceae
Description: ATSL137330
Source: RNAcentral
AUAUGAAGUUGGAAUGGAAGGUAUUGCCUCUGCUUGGGCAGGAGGGGA